RNAcentral lists this long non-coding RNA (3764 nucleotides) under Gossypium raimondii (Peruvian cotton). RNAcentral describes it as "long non-coding RNA (GRAI_LNC000206)". Lineage: Eukaryota; Viridiplantae; Streptophyta; Magnoliopsida; Malvales; Malvaceae. The record is from RNAcentral.
GGUGCUUCAGCUCUUCUCCCAUCAGGUAAAAGGUUUCUCCUCUAUCAAGAGCGUCUUUUGCUAGUCUAUAUGCAUGCGAGUUCCCUGAGAUGUGAAUAUGCUGAAAGAUAAUCUCUUGAAAACAAGGUUUCUUAUUCUGAAUGUCUCUGAUAAUAGCUCCAAUCACUGAUUUAUCUGUGUCGAAACCUUUUUUGAAAACAAAAAUUUAGUUGUCGACUUUAAAAAUUAAACUGGAGUCGCCACCGAUCCUUUAUUAAAUGUGUGAUCGGCCCACCCUAUUUUGGUCAACGAAUUUUGAGAAAAUGAGUCCGGGAGUCAGUUACGCACGAGGAAGGGUUAGCACCCUCGUAACGCCCAAAAUCGGUACCAAAUUGAUCAUUUAAUGUCUUGGUGUCGAAGGUUAAAAAGAUUUUAAAAUCAACUCGAAUGAUUAAAUUUGAAAAAGGAUAAUCAAUUGUUCAAGUCAUGUAAAGAAAUCGAGUCCCAAUACAUUAGGGUACAAUUCCUCAUAAUCCCCGAACUUUGAAUAUCACUUUUAUUUUAUGCGAAAAUCUUCAUUUCGAGAAAGUAACAUGCCACACCCAAUACGUUAGGGCACGACAAGUUAAGUUCUCAAAAAUGAUUUUUAUACUCAUGCAUUUUAAAUAAAGAAUAUCCUCGGUUAUUUAAGAUUAACAAAAAAAAAAUCAGAACUCAAUACGUUAGGGCUCAAUUUUCCUCGAAAAUCCCAAACUUCGAAUAUUAUUUUUAUUCAAAAAAAACCUUUGAAUCAAGAGAAAAUGAUUUUGAUGUUUUGACAAAACCAAAAUAUAUCUUCUUGUUUAAAAAGAAAUGACAUAAUGUUAAUAUACAACAUGAAACACAUACCUUAAUUUUAAAUUAUAUUCGUAUGUGAAUUAUGAAAUGUCAAUGCAUAAAUAUACAUGUAUGCAAAAGUUAUGAAAAUAAAAGAAUAAUAAAAUAUAUAUAUAUAUAUAAUAUGUACAUGUAUUUACAAAAUAUGUAUAUAUAUAUUUAUCAAAAAAUAAAAGAAUAAAAAAAUAUAUUUAGAUUUAUACAGAUAUAUAAAUUAUUAAAUAUAUAUAAAAAAAUAUGAAAAUAUGUAUAUACAAAAAAAUUUAUGUAUAUAGGUAUAUAUAUAUGUACGUAAUAAUUAUGAAAAUAAGAUAAAAAAAAUAAAAGUAUAUAUAUGUGUAUAUAUUUACAAAAUAAAAGAUGUAUAAGUAUGUAUUGGAAGAUCGUGGAAAUACAUAUAUGCAUAUAUAUAAAUUAUAAAGUUUAAAAAAAAUUAGGAAAGUAAAAUAAAAAAUAUAAAAAAGUAUGUAUGUAUAAAAUAUAAUGUAUGUGAAGGUUAAAAAAAAUAAAAAAACAUAUAUAAAAAAAUAAAAUAAAACGCAUGAAUGAAAAUGUAUGCAUGCAUGUUCUAAAGCUUAAGAACACAUAUAUAUUAUAUAAAGAAAUAUGUAUAUAUAUACUAUAUAAAAAUGCAUGUAUAAGUUUAGAAAUAAUUAUAAAAAAUGAUAGUAAAUAAUAUGAUAAUAAUAAAUAAUGGUACAAUGAUAAUAGCAUAAAAAAUAAUAAAAAUAACUAAAAAAAAUGGACUCAAUUGAACUAAAACGGAAAAAAAUGGGGCAGAUUUGAAAUAAGUUAAAAAAGACCAACUUGAAUGCGCAAGCAAUAAUGGAGGACCAAAAGGGAAAUUAUUCCCACCUUCCAUAACGCUGCGCAGCGAGGGACCAAGUUGAACAGAAAUGAAAUUCGCGGCUAAUUUUUAAAAAACAAAAUGAGUUUAAUUGAAAUGCAUCACAAAAAGCAGGGGCUAAAUGCGCAAUUCUACCAUUAAAAGCCAGAACGCGCGGAUCCUCCCCUCUGGGUCGGGUCACCGCGCGGCUCUGGCCAUUUAAAACGGCGUCGUUUUGUCGUUUCAAUAAAAACAAAAUUUCCCUUUUAAAAAAAUUUGAUAGCCCAUUUUAAAACAAAAAAAAGAAUGCUGCCCCUUUUGCUCUGCUAGGGUUUCGACCCUAGCAUCCUUGCGCCGCCGUUCAUCAGCCUCCCCACCCAAAGCUUCGAUGACGGCGGAGAUGGUGGUGGCACGACGACCUCGGCGAACAGGUAAGUGUUUUUCCCUUCUUUUCUUUGUUAUUUUAGGUAAAAUAAAAUGAAAAAAAAAAGAAAAAAAAAAGAAAUAUGCAAAUAAAAAGAAAUGAUGAACACUUCAAAGUAAAAACAAAACCUUUGAAAAAACGAAUUUCCUCUGUAUUUCUCUCUAUUUUUGUACUUUUUUACACUCCAAAAACCCUGUAUUUACAUAUUGAAGUUGGCCUUUUAUAGCCAAAAUGGAAAUGAAAAAAAUCAAAAGAAAUCUGUAUUGUUCUCGAAUUUUUGCUAUUCUGUUUGUUUGUUACUGUAGGUAUGGUUGGAGGAGCGGCGUUUGCGGAGGUGUGGCGCACGUGGAGCGGGGUCGGCCCCGAGACGUGCGGCGCUGGAGGUUGCUGGUGGCUGCUAUGCAACUAAGGCUUUGCUUAGGUUUUUUUUAUUUAAUGUAUUGGGCUAUCUGGGCUUGUAUUUUGUUUGGGUUUAUUCUUUAAUGGGCCAGGCACAUUUGGGCUUAUACAAUCUGUUAAAGUCAUUUGGUAUCUUUUGAUUAUUAUUUUGGAGUCCCUAUAAGUCUAACCGAUUGAAGUCCCAGUGAGAUCCUAACUUUGUGCCUUCCAAACAUGCAGACGCUUCUGCUGCAAAUGGAGAGGAAAUAUUAUUGUGGAUGAUCGUCUUUAAGACCAGUAGUUCCCCCCUCAGAUCCCAACCCACCAGACCUGCCGCUGAUUUGAAGUUUCUACUUUCAAACGAUGCAUCGAAAUGGAUCGUUACUCUCGGUAUGUCCUCCUGGAUUCUGUAAUUUCUGUUCAUAUUAGCAGGGAUCUUAAUUGCUUUCAUUCCUUCAUGUUCUUCCAUAUGCCUCUGUAUGUUUUGUGCUAAAACUACUCUUGUUGUAUUUUGCCCCUCAUGUAUGAAUUGAUUUCUAGAAAACCAUAUUAACCAUAAAACAUAACAGAAGAGUCGGCAUUGAGCGCCGUUACCUCUCUUGAAAACCCAGAUUAGCCACUCCCAUAGAAUUUGAUUCGUAUUAUUCAUGACCUAGGAUAAAUGAAAAAACUGUCAAACUUCUGUUGUUGUGGGACAUUCACGGAAGAUAUGAAAGCUAUCUUCUGCCCAGGAGUAGCAACGGGGACAUCUAUCGUUUGAAAUGACUUUUCUGUACCUGAGAUUAGCAAGAUUAGGAAUAAAAUCCCAGGAAAUUCGCCAAAUAGUGAUUGCGAUUUUUGAAGGUGACUGUAGGCUCCAUAAUUUCCUGUAAAAUUCUUUAGUUUCGGUCUAUAAUAAAUAAUUAGUAGGAUCCAGAAUAACAUCUUGUAAUAGUUUAUAGGCACUGCGUACUGAAUACUCGCUGGAUAAUUCUCUUUUCUAAACUUGAGUAUCCUUGUGAUCAGUCUCUGUAAGAGGGAUCUGUAGAAUUUUCUGAGCAAUUUCUGCUUGAAAGGUACUAUUAAUCAAAUCCGACCUCUAUUUUCUGUUUGUAUUAUCAAUAAGAUCCGAGACUAACUGUAAUUCCCCAUUGUUUGAUUUGUUAUGUCCAUCAACUGUAUCGAUCCCCUGUAUCCAGCUAUCUUCCCCGAUAGAAAUUUUGUCUCAUCUGCCCACUCUCUAGCACAUCCCUUUUUGGAGAAGUCCCUUUGCUGCCCAUAUACUCUUCCAAGUAAGUGAAG